GGGAGUUUCCGAUGCGGAUCUCGGCACCAUCAAUUCUUUUGUGGCAACAAUCUUUUCUGUUGGUGAUGGUGACAGUGUUAAUCUUAUAUGUCUUCAGGAGGUCCAGUCUCCACCAUGGCUUUCUUUGUCUACUUGUGUGGGUGCAGGAUCCUUGUCCAUAGAU
Epinephelus fuscoguttatus (brown-marbled grouper) is the source of this 163-nucleotide long non-coding RNA. RefSeq lists it as uncharacterized. The record is from RefSeq and is a predicted model, not a curated record. NCBI's taxonomy places the organism in Eukaryota, Metazoa, Chordata, Actinopteri, Perciformes, Serranidae. The transcript has 2 exons.